AUGGCGUGCGGGUGGAUGCGGGGAGGCGGGCCGUACGGGCAGCAGGUUACGCGGGGGCAGGACCUCACCGGCAAGGACUUCAGCGGCCAGACGCUCAUCAAGCAGGACUUCAAGACCUCCAUUCUGCGGCAGACCAACUUCAAAGGCGCAAACCUGCUCGGCGCCAGCUUCUUCGAUGCGGACCUCACAGGUAGCCUACUGAUGCAAACCUGCUCGGCGCAGGUGCUGUCCAGCCUGCUGGCGCUCAAACCAGGUCAUCUUCAUCCAGGACGGCGACAACCUGGACCGGCUGCUGCAGCUGCUCGACCCGUCCGAGGGCAAGCUGAUGGCCAAGGGCCUCAUCCUCUCCGCCGUCAUGUCGCUGGCCGAGAUAGGCGCCGGGAGGAAGAAGAUCGUGUCGUCGGAGCACUUCGGGAGCCUCAAUGA
RNAcentral lists this ribosomal RNA (426 nucleotides) under Triticum aestivum (bread wheat). RNAcentral's name for it is "partial small subunit ribosomal RNA". Lineage: Eukaryota; Viridiplantae; Streptophyta; Magnoliopsida; Poales; Poaceae. The record is from RNAcentral.